AUUGAAAGUGACUACAUCGGGG
Molecule: non-coding RNA, 22 nt
Filed under: Arabidopsis thaliana (thale cress)
Lineage: Eukaryota; Viridiplantae; Streptophyta; Magnoliopsida; Brassicales; Brassicaceae
Source: RNAcentral